GAUGGGCGCUGGCGGCGUGCUUAACACAUGCAAGUCGAACGGAAAGGCUCCUGCUUGCAGGGGUACUCGAGUGGCGAACGGGUGAGUAACACGUGGGUGAUCUGCCCAGCACUUCGGGAUAAGCCUGGGAAACUGGGUCUAAUACCGGAUAGGACGAUGGUUUGGAUGCCAUUGUGGAAAGUUUUUUCGGUGUGGGAUGAGCUCGCGGCCUAUCAGCUUGUUGGUGGGGUAAUGGCCUACCAAGGCGUCGACGGGUAGCCGGCCUGAGAGGGUGUACGGCCACAUUGGGACUGAGAUACGGCCCAGACUCCUACGGGAGGCAGCAGUGGGGAAUAUUGCACAAUGGGCGCAAGCCUGAUGCAGCGACGCCGCGUGGGGGAUGACGGCCUUCGGGUUGUAAACUCCUUUCGCUAGGGACGAAGCGCAAGUGACGGUACCUGGAGAAGAAGCACCGGCUAACUACGUG
RNAcentral lists this ribosomal RNA (466 nucleotides) under uncultured bacterium. Its description in RNAcentral is "partial 16S ribosomal RNA". It matches the Rfam family "Bacterial small subunit ribosomal RNA", at positions 28 to 507 of the family's 1533-position model. The record is from RNAcentral.